Molecule: ribosomal RNA, 753 nt
Filed under: uncultured Alphaproteobacteria bacterium
Lineage: Bacteria; Pseudomonadati; Pseudomonadota; Alphaproteobacteria
Description: bacterial SSU rRNA
Rfam family: Bacterial small subunit ribosomal RNA
Source: RNAcentral
GAGCGAACGCUGGCGGCAGGCUUAACACAUGCAAGUCGAACGGACCCUUCGGGGUUAGUGGCGGACGGGUGAGUAACACGUGGGAACGUGCCUUUAGGUUCGGAACAACACAGGGAAACUUGUGCUAAUACCGGAUAAGCCCUUCGGGGGAAAGAUUUAUCGCCUUUAGAGCGGCCCGCGUCUGAUUAGCUUGUUGGUGAGGUAAAGGCUCACCAAGGCUACGAUCAGUAGCUGGUCUGAGAGGAUGGCCAGCCACAUUGGGACUGAGACACGGCCCAAACUCCUACGGGAGGCAGCAGUGGGGAAUCUUGCGCAAUGGGCGAAAGCCUGACGCAGCCAUGCCGCGUGGAUGAUGAAGGUCUUAGGAUUGUAAAAUCCUUUCAGCGUGGACGAUAAUGACGGUACCCGCAGAAGAAGCCCCGGCUAACUUCGUGCCAGCAGCCGCGGUAAUACGAAGGGGGCUAGCGUUGCUCGGAAUUACUGGGCGUAAAGGGCGCGUAGGCGGACAGUUAAGUUGGGGGUGAAAGCCCGGGGCUCAACCUCGGAAUUGCCUUCAAUACUGGCUGUCUUGAGUGUGAGAGAGGUGUGUGGAACUCCGAGUGUAGAGGUGAAAUUCGUAGAUAUUCGGAAGAACACCAGUGGCGAAGGCGACACACUGGCUCACUACUGACGCUGAGGCGCGAAAGCGUGGGGAGCAAACAGGAUUAGAUACCCUGGUAGUCCACGCUGUAAACGAUGAGUGCUAGUUGUCGG